GACGAACGCUGGCGGCGUGCUUAACACAUGCAAGUCGAACGAUGAACCCGGAGCUUGCUCCGGCGGAUUAGUGGCGAACGGGUGAGUAACACGUGAGUAACCUGCCCUUGACUCUGGGAUAACUGCUAGAAAUGGUAGCUAAUACCGGAUACGACCCUCGGUGGCAUCACCAGGGGGUGGAAAGAAUUUCGGUCAAGGAUGGACUCGCGGCCUAUCAGCUAGUUGGUGAGGUAACGGCUCACCAAGGCGACGACGGGUAGCCGGCCUGAGAGGGUGAACGGCCACACUGGGACAGGGACACGGCCCAGACUCCUACGGGAGGCAGCAGUGGGGAAUAUUGCACAAUGGGCGCAAGCCUGAUGCAGCAACGCCGCGUGAGGGAUGACGGCCUUCGGGUUGUAAACCUCUUCUAGUAGGGAAGAAGCGAAAGUGACGGUACCUGCAGAAAAAGCACCGGCUAACUACGUGCCAGCAGCCGCGGUAA
This 484-nucleotide ribosomal RNA is filed under the name uncultured bacterium. RNAcentral's name for it is "partial 16S ribosomal RNA". It matches the Rfam family "Bacterial small subunit ribosomal RNA", at positions 28 to 523 of the family's 1533-position model. The record is from RNAcentral.